RNAcentral lists this ribosomal RNA (292 nucleotides) under uncultured bacterium. RNAcentral's name for it is "partial 16S ribosomal RNA". The record is from RNAcentral.
GGACUACCGGGGUUUCUAAUCCUGUUCGCUCCCCACGCUUUCGCUCCUCAGCGUCAGUAUCGGCCCAGAGACCCGCCUUCGCCACCGGUGUUCCUCCUGAUAUCUGCGCAUUUCACCGCUACACCAGGAAUUCCAGUCUCCCCUACCGAACUCCAGCCCACCCGUAUCGUCGGCAAGCCCGCAGUUAAGCCACGGGUUUUCACCGACGACGCAAUGAGCCGCCUACGAGCUCUUUACGCCCAAUAAAUCCGGACAACGCUCGCGCCCUACGUCUUACCGCGGCUGCUGGCAC